UACGAAGGGGGCUAGCGUUGCUCGGAAUCACUGGGCGUAAAGGGUGCGUAGGCGGGGUUUUAAGUCAGGGGUGAAAUCCUGGAGCUCAACUCCAGAACUGCCUUUGAUACUGAGGAUCUUGAGUUCGGGAGAGGUGAGUGGAACUGCGAGUGUAGAGGUGAAAUUCGUAGAUAUUCGCAAGAACACCAGUGGCGAAGGCGGCUCACUGGCCCGAUACUGACGCUGAGGCACGAAAGCGUGGGGAGCAAACAGG
Molecule: ribosomal RNA, 253 nt
Filed under: uncultured bacterium
Lineage: Bacteria
Description: partial 16S ribosomal RNA
Rfam family: Bacterial small subunit ribosomal RNA
Source: RNAcentral